GACGAACGCUGGCGGCGUGCUUAACACAUGCAAGUCGAACGGAAAGGCCCUGCUUUUGUGGGGUGCUCGAGUGGCGAACGGGUGAGUAACACGUGAGUAACCUGCCCGUGACUUUGGGAUAACUUCAGGAAACUGGGGCUAAUACCGGCUAGGAGCGCCUGCUGCAUGGUGGGGGUUGGAAAGUUACGGCGGUUGGGGAUGGACUCGCGGCUUCUCAGCUUGUUGGUGGGGUAGUGGCUUACCAAGGCGUUGACGGGUAGCCGGCCUGAGAGGGUGACCGGCCACAUUGGGACUGAGAUACGGCCCAGGCUCCUACGGGCGGCAGCAGUGGGAGAUAUUGCACGAUGGGCGGAGGCCUGAUGCAGCGACGCCGCGUGCUGGAUGUCGGCCUUCGGGUUGUAAACCGCUUUCGCCUGUGACGAAGCGUGAGUGACGGUAAUGGGUAAAGAAGCACCGGCUAACUACGUG
This 468-nucleotide ribosomal RNA is filed under the name uncultured bacterium. RNAcentral describes it as "partial 16S ribosomal RNA". It matches the Rfam family "Bacterial small subunit ribosomal RNA", at positions 28 to 507 of the family's 1533-position model. The record is from RNAcentral.